Molecule: ribosomal RNA, 357 nt
Filed under: uncultured bacterium
Lineage: Bacteria
Description: bacterial SSU rRNA
Rfam family: Bacterial small subunit ribosomal RNA
Source: RNAcentral
GACGAACGCUGGCGGCGCGCCUAAUACAUGCAAGUCGAACGGGUCUCCUUCGGGAGGUCAGUGGCGGACGGGUGAGUAACACGUGGGUGACCUGCCCCGAACGUAGGGGAAGUAACGCUGCGAAAGCAGCGCUAAUACCGCAUAUGCUUAACGGUCCAAUCUGUUAAGCAAAGCAGCAAUGCGCUUUGGGAGGGGCCUGCGGCAGAUUAGCUAGUCGGUGGGGUAAUGGCCUACCGAGGCGACGAUCUGUAGCUGGUCUGAGAGGAUGACCAGCCACACUGGGACUGAGACACGGCCCAGACUCCUACGGGAGGCAGCAGUAAGGAAUAUUCCACAAUGGGGGAAACCCUGAUGGAG